GACGAACGCUGGCGGCGUGCUUAACACAUGCAAGUCGAACGGAAAGGCCCUGCUUUUGUGGGUUGCUCGAGUGGCGAACGGGUGAGUAACACGUGAGUAACCUGCCCUUGUCUUUGGGAUAUCUUCAGGAAACUGGGGCUAAUACCGGAUAGGAGCUCCUGCUGCAUGGUGGGGGUUGGAAAGUUUCGGCGGUUGGGGAUGGACUCGCGGCUUAUCAGCUUGUUGGUGGGGUAGUGGCUUACCAAGGCUUUGACGGGUAGCCGGCCUGAGAGGGUGACCGGCCACAUUGGGACUGAGAUACGGCCAAGAAGGCUACGGGAGGCAGCAGGGGGGAAUAUUGCAGAAUGGGCGGAAGCCUGAUGCAGCAACGCCGGGUGCGGGAUGACGGGCUUCGGGUUGUAAACCGCUGUCGCAUGUGACGAAGAGUGAGUGACGGUAAUGGGUAAAGAAGCACCGGCUAACUACGUG
RNAcentral lists this ribosomal RNA (468 nucleotides) under uncultured bacterium. RNAcentral describes it as "partial 16S ribosomal RNA". It matches the Rfam family "Bacterial small subunit ribosomal RNA", at positions 28 to 507 of the family's 1533-position model. The record is from RNAcentral.